RNAcentral lists this ribosomal RNA (253 nucleotides) under uncultured bacterium. RNAcentral's name for it is "partial 16S ribosomal RNA". It matches the Rfam family "Bacterial small subunit ribosomal RNA", at positions 524 to 776 of the family's 1533-position model. The record is from RNAcentral.
UACAGAGGGGGCAAGCGUUAUUCGGAAUUAUUGGGCGUAAAGGGCGCGUAGGCGGCUUGGCAAGUGGAAGGUGAAAUCCCUCGGCUUAACCGAGGAACUGCCCUCCAAACUGCUUGGCUUGAGUCCGGGAGAGGUGAGUGGAAUUCCCAGUGUAGCGGUGAAAUGCGUAGAUAUUGGGAGGAACACCAGUGGCGAAGGCGGCUCACUGGACCGGAACUGACGCUGAGGCGCGAAAGCGUGGGGAGCAAACGGG